This 224-nucleotide unclassified non-coding RNA is filed under the name Hevea brasiliensis (rubber tree). Lineage: Eukaryota; Viridiplantae; Streptophyta; Magnoliopsida; Malpighiales; Euphorbiaceae. The record is from RNAcentral.
GUGAAUACUGAAAGGUAGAUCAAAACCACACUUCUCUGAAAACUUGAUUUCAGGUAGUCUGAUAUUAUAUGUCUUCUCGUAAUUUAUACUGUUUUAUUAGUGAAUACUGAAAGGUUAGAUCAAAACCGCACUUGUUUUAUAUCAUGAUUGUGUCAAUUUACUUUUGUCAAAAGUGGUUUACAGGAAUCAAAUUAUGGUCACACAGGUUCACAGCAUCAUUGGAA